AGAGUUUGAUCAUGGCUCAGGAUGAACGCUAGCUACAGGCUUAACACAUGCAAGUCGAGGGGAAACGACAUCGAAAGCUUGCUUUUGAUGGGCGUCGACCGGCGCACGGGUGAGUAACGCGUAUCCAACCUGCCCACCACUUGGGGAUAACCUUGCGAAAGUAAGACUAAUACCCAAUGACGUCUCUAGAAGACAUCUGAAAGAGAUUAAAGAUUUAUCGGUGAUGGAGUGGGGAUGCGUCUGAUUAGCUUGUUGGCGGGGUAACGGCCACCAAGGCUACGAUCAGUAGGGUUCUGAGAGGAAGGUCCCCCACAUUGGAACUGAGACACGGUCCAAACUCCUACGAGGCA
Molecule: ribosomal RNA, 350 nt
Filed under: uncultured bacterium
Lineage: Bacteria
Description: bacterial SSU rRNA
Rfam family: Bacterial small subunit ribosomal RNA
Source: RNAcentral